This 48-nucleotide non-coding RNA is filed under the name unclassified sequences. The record is from Rfam.
UGGGCUGGUUGAAAGACCCGGGUCCACCUGUCGGCGGGGAAGUGCCCC